RNAcentral lists this ribosomal RNA (741 nucleotides) under uncultured bacterium. RNAcentral describes it as "bacterial SSU rRNA". It matches the Rfam family "Bacterial small subunit ribosomal RNA", at positions 63 to 816 of the family's 1533-position model. The record is from RNAcentral.
UGAGCGGAGAUAUAUGGAGCUUGCUUUAUAUAACUUAGCAGCGAACGGGUGAGUAACACGUAGAUAAUCUAUCCUAUACUGGGGGAUAGCCCGAUGAAAGUUGGAUUAAUACCGCAUAUAGCUAUAUAGUUGCAUGAUUAUGUAGUGAAAGAUUUAUUGGUAUAGGAGGAGUCUGCGGCACAUUAGCUAGUAGGUGAGGUAAAGGCUUACCUAGGCGACGAUGUGUAGCCGGUCUGAGAGGAUGAACGGCCACAAUGGAACUGAGACACGGUCCAUACUCCUACGGGAGGCAGCAGUGGGGAAUAUUGCACAAUGGGGGAAACCCUGAUGCAGCAACGCCGCGUGAGUGAAGAAGGUUUUCGGAUUGUAAAGCUCUGUUAGCAGGGAAGAGGAAGGACGGUACCUGCAGAGGAAGCCACGGCUAACUACGUGCCAGCAGCCGCGGUAAUACGUAGGUGGCAAGCGUUGUUCGGAAUAACUGGGCGUAAAGGAUGCGUAGGCGGUUAAACAAGUUAUAUGUUAAAUAUAUAGGCUUAACCUGUAGAAAGCAUAUAAAACUGUUUAACUAGGGUGCAGGAGAGGUAAGUGGAAUUCCUAGUGUAGCGGUGAAAUGCGUAGAGAUUAGGAAGAACACCAGUGGCGAAGGCGACUUACUGGACUGUAACUGACGCUGAGGCAUGAGAGCAUGGGGAGCAAACAGGAUUAGAUACCCUGGUAGUCCAUGCUGUAAACGAUGGGUAC